This 439-nucleotide ribosomal RNA is filed under the name uncultured bacterium. RNAcentral describes it as "partial 16S ribosomal RNA". It matches the Rfam family "Bacterial small subunit ribosomal RNA", at positions 338 to 795 of the family's 1533-position model. The record is from RNAcentral.
CCUACGGGAGGCAGCAGUGGGGGAUAUUGCACAAUGGAGGAAACUCUGAUGCAGCGACGCCGCGUGAGGGAAGACGGUCUUCGGAUUGUAAACCUCUUUUUUUGGGGAAGAAAAUGACGGUACCCAAAGAAGAAGCUCCGGCUAACUACGUGCCAGCAGCCGCGGUAAUACGGAGGGAGCGAGCGUUGUCCGGAAUUACUGGGUGUAAAGGGAGCGUAGGCGGGCGAGAAAGUCGAAUGUUAAAUCUACUGGCUUAACUGGGAGCUGCGUUUGAAACUUUUUGUCUUGAGUGAUGUAGAGGCAGGAGGAAUUCGUGGUGUAGCGGUGAAAUGCGUAGAUAUUAGGAGGAACACCAGUGGCGAAGGCGGCCUGCUGGGCUUUAACUGACGCUGAGGCUCGAAAGCGUGGGUAGCAAACAGGAUUAGAUACCCGAGUAGUC